GGCACUUGUAUUCCAAAUUUCUGUAAUCUGUCAAUAGUAGUAAGUCUUUGUAGAGCAGCUAGCCAUACAAUGAAUUUGUGUCAUGUUGAACAUUAGUAGUUAGCAUCAGAUUCUUCCACUCUACCUUAUUGAAACUGGGAAUCAUUGCAAGGUAGAGUUUUUGAAUUUUGAAUUUAUCCAGCGUGCACACUCUUUUCAACCUGCUA
This 206-nucleotide long non-coding RNA is filed under the name Nicotiana benthamiana. RNAcentral describes it as "long non-coding RNA (NBEN_LNC012921)". The record is from RNAcentral. Lineage: Eukaryota; Viridiplantae; Streptophyta; Magnoliopsida; Solanales; Solanaceae.